GAUGAACGCUGGCGGCGUGCCUAAUACAUGCGAGUCGAGCGAACAGACGAGGAGCUUGCUCCCCUGACGUUAGCGGCGGACGGGUGAGUAACACGUGGAUAACCUACCUAUAAGACUGGGAUAACUUCGGGAAACCGGAGCUAAUACCGGAUAAUAUAUUGAACCGCAUGGUUCAAUAGUGAAAGACGGUUUUGCUGUCACUUAUAGAUGGAUCCGCGCCGCAUUAGCUAGUUGGUAAGGUAACGGCUUACCAAGGCGACGAUGCGUAGCCGACCUGAGAGGGUGAUCGGCCACACUGGAACUGAGACACGGUCCAGACUCCUACGGGAGGCAGCAGUAGGGAAUCUUCCGCAAUGGGCGAAAGCCUGACGGAGCAACGCCGCGUGAGUGAUGAAGGUCUUCGGAUCGUAAAACUCUGUUAUUAGGGAAGAACAAAUGUGUAAGUAACUAUGCACGUCUUGACGGUACCUAAUCAGAAAGCCACGGCUAACUACGUG
This 497-nucleotide ribosomal RNA is filed under the name uncultured bacterium. RNAcentral's name for it is "partial 16S ribosomal RNA". It matches the Rfam family "Bacterial small subunit ribosomal RNA", at positions 28 to 507 of the family's 1533-position model. The record is from RNAcentral.